RNAcentral lists this long non-coding RNA (652 nucleotides) under Ananas comosus (pineapple). RNAcentral's name for it is "long non-coding RNA (ACOM_LNC015318)". Lineage: Eukaryota; Viridiplantae; Streptophyta; Magnoliopsida; Poales; Bromeliaceae. The record is from RNAcentral.
UUAUAAAAUAACCUUUUAAAAUUUUGUUAUUUGUGAAAUAACCCUGCCAAAAUUAUAUUUAAAAAACUAAACUCUUAAAGACGGUGAAUAAUUCACCGUUUUCAUAAAGAACCUAAUUUCUCAGAAAAGUGGUGAAUGAUUCACCGCCUUUCACUUAUUUAUUAUUUUUUUCUAUAAUCCUAACAACCAUAUAAAUAUUUCAACAAAUCACAUAUAAUUUUAACAACCUGAAAAUUCUAAUAAUCUAUCCAUACAAUCCUAACAAUUAAAAAGAUCCCAAUAAUCUAUCCAUACAAUCAUAAUAAUCAAACAUCACAUAUAAUCUUAGCAAUUUGAAAUCCUAAUAAUAUAUCCAUAUAAUCCUAACAAUCAAAAAAAUUUAAUAAUCUAUCCAUACAAUUUUAGCAAUCAAACAAAAAUUCUAAUAUUCCACACACAAUCCUAACAACCUCACUUUUUUUUAUUUCCCGUAUAAUCUACGUACAAUUUUAACAACCUCAUUUUUUUUCUCUUUUCCAAAAAAUUAUGAAGAAGACGGUGAAUGAUUCACCACCUUUAAAAGAACUUAGAUACUUUCAGAAUGCGGUGAAUGAUUCACCGCGUUUUGAGAGUUAAUUUAUCAAAUACAAAUUUGAUAAGGUUAUUUUGCAAA